This 64-nucleotide transfer RNA is filed under the name unidentified. Its description in RNAcentral is "Epeorus sp. 01 ZXM-2022a tRNA-Phe". The record is from RNAcentral.
GCUUAAAUAGCUUAUAAAGAGCAUAACAUUGAAGAUGUUAGGGAGACCUUUGGGUCUUUGGGCA